UACGUAGGGCGCAAGCGUGUCCGGAAUUAUUGGGCGUAAAGAGCUCGUAGGCGGUUUGUCGCGUCUGCUGUGAAAACCUGAGGCUCAACCUCGGGCUUGCAGUGGGUACGGGCAGACUAGAGUGGCGGUAGGGGUGACUGGAAUUCCUGGUGUAGCAGUGAAAUGCGUAGAUAUCAGGAGGAAUACCGAUGGCGAAGGCAGGUCUCUGGGCUGACACUGACGUCAUGCACGAAAGCGUGGGGAGCAAACGGG
RNAcentral lists this ribosomal RNA (252 nucleotides) under uncultured bacterium. RNAcentral describes it as "partial 16S ribosomal RNA". It matches the Rfam family "Bacterial small subunit ribosomal RNA", at positions 524 to 776 of the family's 1533-position model. The record is from RNAcentral.